Molecule: long non-coding RNA, 232 nt
Organism: Sander lucioperca (pikeperch)
Lineage: Eukaryota; Metazoa; Chordata; Actinopteri; Perciformes; Percidae
Exons: 3
Source: RefSeq, a predicted model, not a curated record
UAAUCCCAAUGGUCAUUUUAAUUGAUGUCAACUGUAAUAACACCAACAAAUAAUUGGAGGAAAUAAGUUUUUGAAUUCUUUCGCAAGAGAACAAAAGUAUAUAAUAAAGAAUUAUGACUGCAUGUUUUCUUUUGCUAUUUCUUCAUCAUUACAUUCUUACAUUACCAAUAGGUCACUCAGGUCUUCUGACCAGGGAUUACCAGGUGAUCCUCGCACUUGUUUAAACAAAAAA